GGCGACCGGCGCACGGGUGCGUAACGCGUAUGUAACCUACCUAUAACAGGGGCAUAACACUGAGAAAUUGGUACUAAUUCCCCAUAAUAUUCGGAGAGGCAUCUCUCCGGGUUGAAAACUCCGGUGGUUAUAGAUGGACAUGCGUUGUAUUAGCUAGUUGGUGAGGUAACGGCUCACCAAGGCAACGAUACAUAGGGGGACUGAGAGGUUAACCCCCCCACACUGGUACUGAGACACGGACCAGACUCCUACGGGGAGGCAGCAUG
Molecule: ribosomal RNA, 266 nt
Filed under: uncultured bacterium
Lineage: Bacteria
Description: partial 16S ribosomal RNA
Rfam family: Bacterial small subunit ribosomal RNA
Source: RNAcentral